RNAcentral lists this ribosomal RNA (497 nucleotides) under uncultured bacterium. RNAcentral's name for it is "partial 16S ribosomal RNA". It matches the Rfam family "Bacterial small subunit ribosomal RNA", at positions 28 to 507 of the family's 1533-position model. The record is from RNAcentral.
GAUGAACGCUGGCGGCGUGCCUAAUACAAGCAAGUCGAACGCACGGACGCGGCUCUUGCUUCUCUGAUGUUAGCGACGGAUGGGUGAGUCACACGUAGCUAGCCUACCUCUAUGGCUUAGAUAACGUCGAGGAACCGGAGCUAAUACCGGUUAAUAUUUUGAACCGCAUGGUUCAUGAGUGGGAGACGGUCUUGCUGUCACUUAUAGGUGGAUCCGCGCUGCAUUAGCUAGUUGGUAAGGUAACGGCUUACCAAGGCAACGAUGCAUAGCCGACCUGAGCGCGUGAUCGGCGACACGUGAACUGAGACACGGGCCACACUCCUGCGGGAGGCAGCAGUAGGGAGUCUGCAGCAAUGGGCGAAAGCCGGACGGAUCAACGCCGCGUGAGUGAUGAAGGUCUUCGGAUCGUAAAACUCUGUUAUUAUGGAAGAACAGUCGUGUAAGUAACUGUGCACAUCUUGACGGUACCUGAUCAAAAAGCCACGGCUAACUACGUG